CGGGGGCGAAAGGCUGGAUCAAGCAAUGCCGCGUGAGUGAUGAAGGCCUUAGGGUUGUAAAGCUCUUUUACCCGAGAUGAUAAUGACAGUAUCGGGAGAAUAAGCUCCGGCUAACUCCGUGCCAGCAGCCGCGGUAAUAGA
Molecule: ribosomal RNA, 141 nt
Filed under: uncultured Porphyrobacter sp.
Lineage: Bacteria; Pseudomonadati; Pseudomonadota; Alphaproteobacteria; Sphingomonadales; Erythrobacteraceae
Description: partial 16S ribosomal RNA
Rfam family: Bacterial small subunit ribosomal RNA
Source: RNAcentral